This is a long non-coding RNA of Hemicordylus capensis (graceful crag lizard), 524 nucleotides long. RefSeq lists it as uncharacterized. The transcript is spliced from 3 exons. The record is from RefSeq and is a predicted model, not a curated record. NCBI's taxonomy places the organism in Eukaryota, Metazoa, Chordata, Lepidosauria, Squamata, Cordylidae.
UGCCUGUCUUCCUUUGCUGAACUGCCAGUCAGUCUGAACAAGAAAUAGAAGCCAAAUGACUCAUUGACGAGAGGUCAGUCCCUGUGCCAAAAGGCUAACCCAGUGAGGCACAGAUUCUUCCAGAGUCCACAGAUGGCUCAGGCUUGGCUCCUUGCAGUUUGUGUUUUCUUCUGCCUCAGACCAGGAGUAGAUGCCAUUAGAUGCAAAAUGUGCUCAAGCUGGAGUAAUCCAACCGAUCCAUGUGACAAUCUUGCAAAGACAUGUGACGAUCAAGGCUGCAUUGUUACAAAACUAUAUAACGAUCAUAUCAUGGUUAGAAAAAUGAUGGACUGUUAUUAUGACAAACACAAAUGUGGAAAGAAAGGGCUACUUCCAUUGGCUGUAUUGGGAUAUGAAAAUACCUGUUGUUCUGAUCAGGACUUUUGUUCUGAUAAUCUGUAGACUGAAAGUGUGGAUGAAGACAGAUGUAAUCUUAAGAGAACUUAAUUUCAAGAGGGUUUUAUUAAAAUUCAAAAUUUAUUCAA